This 465-nucleotide ribosomal RNA is filed under the name uncultured bacterium. Its description in RNAcentral is "partial 16S ribosomal RNA". It matches the Rfam family "Bacterial small subunit ribosomal RNA", at positions 28 to 507 of the family's 1533-position model. The record is from RNAcentral.
GACGAACGCUGGCGGCGUGCUUAACACAUGCAAGUCGAACGGAAAGGCCCCUUUGGGGGUACUCGAGUGGCGAACGGGUGAGUAACACGUGAGUAACCUGCCCUUGACUUCGGGAUAACUUCAGGAAACUGGGGCUAAUACCGGAUAGGAAUCCUUGCUGCAUGGUGGGGGUUGGAAAGCUUCGGCGGUUUUGGAUGGACUCGCGGCUUAUCAGCUUGUUGGUGGGGUAGUGGCUUACCAAGGCUUUGACGGGUAGCCGGCCUGAGAGGGCGACCGGCCACAUUGGGACUGAGAUACGGCCCAGACUCCUACGGGAGGCAGCAGUGGGGAAGAUUGCACAAUGGGCGGAAGCCGGAUGCAGCAACGCCGCGGGCGGGAUGACGGCCUUCGGGUUGUAAACCGCUUUCAGCAGGGGCGAAGCUUGUGGUGACGGUACCUGCAGAAGAAGCACCGGCUAACUACGUG